GAAGACGAAGACGGAUCAAAUUGAAUAAUCGAAGAGAGAUGGGAC
This 45-nucleotide small RNA is filed under the name Arabidopsis thaliana (thale cress). Lineage: Eukaryota; Viridiplantae; Streptophyta; Magnoliopsida; Brassicales; Brassicaceae. The record is from RNAcentral.